GUUUCAAUAUUAUUUAAAAAUAUAUUAUACAACGAGUUCUCUACUACAACACGGCUUGUACUUAUAAAUUACAGAACUUAUAAAUAAAAACGUGUAUAAUGUCGCCUGAACGCAGGCUGCACUUUGUUACAUUUUACAGUACAUAUGGUCCUACUUUUCCGCACUAGUGCGUGAAAUAUCACUUUUCGUGCGUAUGUCAAAAGUUUAAAGGGCCAUAUGUACUGUAAAACAUUGUACGAUACAUGUGCGAAUAGGUAAUUCGCAACUCGUGUCGAUUUAAAACACUCCCUUCGGUCGUGUUUUAAUUUAUCGCCACUCGUUUCGAAUUUCCUUUUUUCCGCACUUGUAUCGGAAAUAACUAUU
Long non-coding RNA from Cydia fagiglandana, 363 nucleotides. RefSeq lists it as uncharacterized. The transcript is spliced from 2 exons. NCBI's taxonomy places the organism in Eukaryota, Metazoa, Arthropoda, Insecta, Lepidoptera, Tortricidae. The record is from RefSeq and is a predicted model, not a curated record.